UAGGUGACUGCGUACCUUUUGUAUAAUGGGUCAGCGACUUAUAUUCAGUGGCAAGCUUAACCGUAUAGGGUAGGCGUAGCGAAAGCGAGUCUUAAUAGGGCGUUUAGUCGCUGGGUAUAGACCCGAAACCGGGCGAUCUAUCCAUGAGCAGGUUGAAGGUUAGGUAACACUGACUGGAGGACCGAACCCACUCCCGUUGAAAAGGUAGGGGAUGACUUGUGGAUCGGAGUGAAAGGCUAAUCAAGCUCGGAGAUAGCUGGUUCUCCUCGAAAGCUAUUUAGGUAGCGCCUCAUGUAUCACUCUGGGGGGUAGAGCACUGUUUCGGCUAGGGGGUCAUCCCGACUUACCAAACCGAUGCAAACUCCGAAUACCCAGAAGUGCCGAGCAUGGGAGACACACGGCGGGUGCUAACGUCCGUCGUGAAAAGGGAAACAACCCAGACCGCCAGCUAAGGUCCCAAAGUUGUGGUUAAGUGGUAAACGAUGUGGGAAGGCUUAGACAGCUAGGAGGUUGGCUUAGAAGCAGCC
This 527-nucleotide ribosomal RNA is filed under the name Pseudomonas aeruginosa. RNAcentral's name for it is "bacterial LSU rRNA". It matches the Rfam family "Bacterial large subunit ribosomal RNA", at positions 590 to 1117 of the family's 2925-position model. The record is from RNAcentral. Lineage: Bacteria; Pseudomonadati; Pseudomonadota; Gammaproteobacteria; Pseudomonadales; Pseudomonadaceae.